Juglans microcarpa x Juglans regia is the source of this 748-nucleotide long non-coding RNA. RefSeq lists it as uncharacterized. The record is from RefSeq and is a predicted model, not a curated record. The transcript has 2 exons. NCBI's taxonomy places the organism in Eukaryota, Viridiplantae, Streptophyta, Magnoliopsida, Fagales, Juglandaceae.
CGGAUAGCUCAUUCUACAAUUUCAAAAACUAUGCUAGAAUGAAAGGACUAUAUGCAACCUCUUGUCAAAUGCAAGCCGAGUGGCUCUAAAUAACUCGCACUAAUAGUGUGGUUGAGGCAAUCUCUUAUUAAAUACAAGUUGAGUGUCUUCAUUUACACGAUUUGAACGGUUGAGGCAACUUCUUGCCAAACACAAGUCAAGUCCUCUUGCAUUUUAAUGCGGUCGAGACAACCUCUAUAUCUAUAGAGGUUGCACCUAGUGACUUGCACCUAGUGACCGAAUGUUACUGCAUUCAUGCACUACUUGCAUUUACACGAUGUUUUAGUAGUUGUUCAAAUGCAUCAUGUGUGUGGAAUCUGUUUUCGAUAAUUCUUACUCAAUGUUUCAUUUAGAUCACCUAUAGCCUCGAGUCAAUCAUCAUGUGUUGUUGAUGAGUUGCAAAUCGAAGCCCCAACUUGUUGGUGUGGGUUGAAAACCCCAUUGAAGACCUCCCAUACUAACAAAAAUUCUAGAAGAAAAUUUUACGCCUGCCCGAAGUAUAACGAGGGAGAAGAAAUGUGUCAAUUCUUUAUAUGGGAAGAUAUACUUCAAUUGGUAGAGGAGAAAAUACGCACAAGAGAGAAUGUAGCUUGAAAAAGGGAGGAUGAUUUACUGUUGCGCGAGUAUGAAGUUCAGAAAACAAAAGAUAAACUAGUUGAGAGAGAGAAUGUUCUUUACAAGCAAGAGAAGAAAAUUAGAAAACAACUCG